AUUUUAAAUUACUAUUAAUCUUAUUAAUGCUUUACUUAUACAUGUACAUUAUUAUGGUAUAAGAAAUAAAGUCUAGGGGGGAAUUGAUUUGGAACAAAGAGUAAGAAUAAGUUAAAUGUUAAAGUGCUUAGAAAGGGAAAAAAAUGAAAAAAUUAGAGCUGGCAAAAGCUGACCCGACCCGACAACCCGACCCGAACCCAACCCGAAAUAAAUGGGUUAUGAGCAAAGUUUUCAACCCAUUUAUGUAAUUGGGUCGACCUGAACCCAACCCGAAACUAAAUGGGUCAGGUUCAGGUUGACAAUUCCGACCCGAAAAUAACCCGCCUAAACCCGUUUAACUAAUUGGGUUGGUUUCAGGUCGGGUCAACCCGAACCCCACCCAUAUAACCCUAUAUUAGUAAAAUGAUAUUAGGCCUUAGUAUUUUUAUUUGGACAAAGCCCAACCUAUGUCAAAUCCUAUAGAGUACAAAAAACCCAAAAAGUGAAAACCCUAUUUUUUUUUCUAGUCAUUUUCCCACUUGUUCAGCCGUUUUCAUCUCUAUUUUCCCAUCUUAUUCUCUCACCUCUCUCUUUUUUCUCUAUCUAGCUUGUUUAUCAAAAUUGCAACUUCAAACUUGUUUAUCUUCAAAUUUUUCACCUACUAAGGUGAAUGAUGAAGCCAAUACACCAAGCCCAUUUGAGAGCGCACCUCAAAGUCAGUAGCAAGACUAGCAACUAGUCAAACCUGAUGAAGUUUUCCAAGAUCUAAUUUUUAUUUUGUUGGGAAUAUUGCCUCCUUAAGACAUUGAUUUUGAUUUUGGACUGUACUGUAAAUUAUUAUAUGUAAACUAUGGUUAGUUUUACUUGAAUGUAUUUUUAUUAUGCUUAAAUUGAUAGGUUUGUACAGCAAAGUUUUAUGCAAAAUAACAAGUUAAAUAUACGACUUUUUUUUUUA
Molecule: long non-coding RNA, 934 nt
Organism: Chenopodium quinoa (quinoa)
Lineage: Eukaryota; Viridiplantae; Streptophyta; Magnoliopsida; Caryophyllales; Amaranthaceae
Exons: 2
Source: RefSeq, a predicted model, not a curated record